Molecule: ribosomal RNA, 440 nt
Filed under: uncultured bacterium
Lineage: Bacteria
Description: partial 16S ribosomal RNA
Rfam family: Bacterial small subunit ribosomal RNA
Source: RNAcentral
CCUACGGGAGGCUGCAGUAGGGAAUAUUGCUCAAUGGGGGAAACCCUGAAGCAGCAACGCCGCGUGGAGGAUGAAGGUUUUCGGAUUGUAAACUCCUUUUGUUAGGGAAGAUAAUGACGGUAUCUAACGAAUAAGCACCGUCUAACUCCGUGCCAGCAGCCGCGGUAAUACGGAGGGUGCAAGCGUUACCCGGAAUCACUGGGCGUAAAGAGCGCGUAGGCGGGAUAGCAAGUCAGAUGUGAAAUCCUAUGGCUUAACCAUAGAACUGCAUUUGAAACUGUUAUUCUAGAGUAUGGGAGAGGUAGGUGGAAUUCUUGGUGUAGGGGUAAAAUGCGUAGAGAUCAAGAGGAAUACUCAUUGCGAAGGCGACCUGCUAGAACGUAACUGACGCUGAUGCGCGAAAGCGUGGGGAGCAAACAGGAUUAGAUACCCGGGUAGUC